UGGGGAAUAUUGCACAAUGGGCGCAAGCCUGAUGCAGCCAUGCCGCGUGUAUGAAGAAGGCCUUCGGGUUGUAAAGUACUUUCAGCGGGGAGGAAGGGAGUAAAGUUAAUACUUUUGCUCAUUGCCGUUACCCGCAGAAGAAGCACCGGCUAACCCCGUGCCAGCAGCCGCGGUAAUACGGAGGGUGCAAGCGUUAAUCGGAAUUACUGGGCGUAAAGCGCACGCAGGCGGUUUGUUAAGUCAGAUGUGAAAUCCUCGGGCUCAACCUGGGAACUGCAUCUGAUACUGGCAAGCUUGAGUCUCGUAGAGGGGGGUAGAAUUCCAGGUGUAGCGGUGAAAUGCGUAGAGACCUGGAGGAAUACCGAUGGCGAAGGCGGCCACCUGGACGAAGACUGACGCUCAGGUGCGAAAGCGUGGGGAGCAAACAGG
This 429-nucleotide ribosomal RNA is filed under the name Chloroflexota bacterium. RNAcentral describes it as "Chloroflexi bacterium partial 16S ribosomal RNA". It matches the Rfam family "Bacterial small subunit ribosomal RNA", at positions 355 to 776 of the family's 1533-position model. The record is from RNAcentral. Lineage: Bacteria; Bacillati; Chloroflexota.